UAACUCUCAAUUUUGGAACUUCUCGAUGACUGAAUUUUUUAUAGGUUUGAUAUUUCAGAGUAAAGAUGAGCUAAAGAGAACUGUUGAUUUUUAUCACAUUCAGAAGUAUCGGACAUACAAUGUAGUCCAAUCACAUUCAAAGUUAUGGUCCAUACGAUGUGCAUCAUCACAUACUGAACAAGAAUGUAAAUGGAGGCUUCGUGCUGUAAUUUUGAAAAAACAUGGAUAUUUUCAGAUCAUAAGAUAUGAGGGUUGUCACACUUGUUUGUUUACGAGAUUGAGUCGAGACGACAAACAUGUC
This 301-nucleotide long non-coding RNA is filed under the name Elaeis guineensis (African oil palm). Its description in RNAcentral is "long non-coding RNA (EGUI_LNC001448)". Lineage: Eukaryota; Viridiplantae; Streptophyta; Magnoliopsida; Arecales; Arecaceae. The record is from RNAcentral.